RNAcentral lists this ribosomal RNA (459 nucleotides) under uncultured bacterium. Its description in RNAcentral is "partial 16S ribosomal RNA". It matches the Rfam family "Bacterial small subunit ribosomal RNA", at positions 338 to 795 of the family's 1533-position model. The record is from RNAcentral.
CCUACGGGCGGCAGCAGUGAGGAAUAUUGGUCAAUGGGCGCUAGCCUGAACCAGCCAAGUAGCGUGAAGGAUGACUGCCCUAUGGGUUGUAAACUUCUUUUAUAUGGGAAUAAAGUGCAGUAUGUAUACUGCUUUGCAUGUACCUUAUGAAUAAGGAUCGGCUAACUCCGUGCCAGCAGCCGCGGUAAUACGGAGGAUUCGAGCGUUAUCCGGAUUUAUUGGGUUUAAAGGGUGCGUAGGCGGACUGUUAAGUCAGCGGUAAAAGCCCGGGGCUCAACCCCGGCGAGCCGUUGAAACUGGCGGGCUUGAGAUGACGAGAGGUAGGCGGAAUACGCAGUGUAGCGGUGAAAUGCUUAGAUAUUGCGCAGAACUCCGAUUGCGAAGGCAGCAUACCGGAGGGGAUCUGACGCUGAGGCACGAGAGCGUGGGUAGCGAACAGGAUUAGAUACCCGGGUAGUC